UACCAGCACCCCGAGUGGUCGGGACGUUUAUUGGGCCUAAAGCAUCCGUAGCCGGUUCUACAAGUCUUCCGUUAAAUCCAACUGCUUAACAGGUGGGCUGCGGAAGAUACUAUAGAGCUAGGAGGCGGGAGAGGCAAGCGGUACUCGAUGGGUGAGGGUAAAAUCCGUUGAUCCAUUGAAGACCACCAGUGGCGAAGGCGGCUUGCCAGAACGCGCUCGACGGUGAGGGAUGAAAGCUGGGGGAGCAAACCGGAUUAGAACGGACCUGGACGUCCAAGAC
This 280-nucleotide ribosomal RNA is filed under the name uncultured bacterium. RNAcentral's name for it is "partial 16S ribosomal RNA". It matches the Rfam family "Archaeal small subunit ribosomal RNA", at positions 474 to 752 of the family's 1478-position model. The record is from RNAcentral.